GCAACAUUGAGACUCCUAUCUUAAAAAAAAAUUCUAGCUCUCUAGCCUACAGCCUGUGUCUAUGGUUGGGCCGUCUGCGUCCAGCUGCCUGGGACAGAGAUCGGGUGUAUGGGGCCGCAGGAACUGGCUCCAGGGCCCCCAUAACGGGCCACCCCGCAGCACCCCGGCCUGGCGUGAGGGUGUCCCUUGAUCUGAGAAUGGCUACCUCUCGAUAUGAGCCAGUGGCUGAAAUUGGUGUCGGUGCCUAUGGGACAGUAUACAAGACCUGUGAUCUGCACAGUGGCCACUUUGUGGCCCUCAAGAUGUGAGAGUCCCCAGUGGAGGAGCUGGAGGAGGACUUCCCAUCAGCACAGUUUGUGAGGUGGCCUUACUGAAGUGACUGGAGGCUUUUGAGCAUCCCAACAUUGCCUGGCUGAUGGAUGUCUGUGCCACAUCCCGAACUGACCGAGAGGUCAAGGUAACCCUGGUGUUUGAGCACGUAGACCAAGAUCUAAGAACGUAUCUGGACAAGGCACCCCCACCAGGCUUGUCAGCCGAGACCAUCAAGGAUCUGAUGCACCAGUUUCUAAGAGGCCUAGAUUUUCUUCAUGCCAAUUGCAUCGUUCGCCGAGAUCUGAAGUCAGAGAACAUUCUGGUGACAAGUGGUGGAAGAGUCAAGCUUGCUGUCUUUGGCCUGGCCAGAAUCUACAGCUACCAGAUGGCACUUACACCCAUGGUUGUUACACUCUGGUACCGAGCUCCUGAAGUUCUUCUGCAGUCCACAUAUGCAAUACCUGUGGACAUGUGGAGUGUUGGCUGUAUCUUUGCUGAGAUAUUUCGUUGAAAGCCUCUCUUCUGCGGAAACUCUGAAGCUGACCAGUUGGGCAAAAUCUCUGACCUGAUUGGGCUGUCUACAGAGGAUGACUGGCCUCGAGAUGUAUCUCUGCCCCAUGGAGUCUUUCACCCCAGAGGGCCCCACCCAGUGCAGUCGGUGGCACCUGAGAUGGAGGAGUUGGGAGCACAUCUGCUGCUGGAAAUGCAGACUUUUAACCGACAUAAGCCAAUCUCUGCCUUUCGAGCUCUGCAACACUCUUAUCUACAUAAGGAAGAAGGUAAUCCUGAGUGAGCAAUGAAGUGGCUGCCAUGGAAGGAAGAAAAGCUGUCGUUUCCCUUCUGGACACUGAGAGGGCAGUCUCUCCCUUCGUCUCUGAGGCUGUGGAGGCUCCACCUCCAUCUUUCUACAGAGAUUACUUUGCUG
Molecule: non-coding RNA, 1237 nt
Organism: Saimiri boliviensis boliviensis (Bolivian squirrel monkey)
Lineage: Eukaryota; Metazoa; Chordata; Mammalia; Primates; Cebidae
Source: RefSeq, a predicted model, not a curated record